AGAGUUUGAUCAUGGCUCAGGAUGAACGUUGGCGGCGUGCCUAAUACAUGCAAGUCGAACGAAGACUGUAGUAAUACUGUCUUAGUGGCGAACGGGUGAGUAACGCGUGGGUGACCUGCCCCGAAGUGUGGGAUAACAGUUCGAAAGAACUGCUAAUACCGCAUAAUAUCCAGGAGAUUAGAUGCUUCUGGAUUAAAGGAGUAAUUCGCUUCGGGAGGGGCCCGCGUCCCAUCAGCUAGUUGGUAAGGUAAUGGCUUACCAAGGCGAUGACGGGUAGGGGACCUGAGAGGGUGGCCCCCCACAAUGGAACUGAAACACGGUCCAUACACCUACGGGUGGCAGCAGUAGGGAAUAUUAGUAAUGGGCGAAAGCCUGAACUAGCAACGCCGCGUGUGCGAAGAAGGCCUUCGGGUUGUAAAGCACUUUUUGAGAGGAUGAGGAAGGACGGUACUCUCAGAAUAAGUCUCGGCUAACUACGUGCCAGCAGCCGCGGUAACACGUAGGAGGCAAACGUUAUCCGGAUUUACUGGGCGUAAAGCGCGUGUAGGUGGUUUGGUAAGUAGGGCGUGAAAGCUCCUGGCUCAACUGGGAGAGGACGUCCUAAACUGCCAAGCUUGAGGAUGGUAGAGGGAGGUGGAAUUCCGGGUGUAGCGGUGGAAUGCGCAGAUAUCCGGAGGAACACCAGUGGCGAAGGCGGCCUCCUGGACCACUCCUGACACUCAGACGCGAAAGCUAGGGUAGCAAACGGGAUUAGAGACCCCGGUAGUCCUAGCCCUAAACGAUGUAGACUUGGCGUCGGUGGUUUAAUCGCCAUCGGUGUCGUAGCUAACGCGUUAAGUCUACCGCCUGGGGACUACGGCCGCAAGGUUAAAACUCAAAGGAAUUGACGG
This 890-nucleotide ribosomal RNA is filed under the name Chloroflexi bacterium enrichment culture clone H12_1_19. RNAcentral's name for it is "bacterial SSU rRNA". It matches the Rfam family "Bacterial small subunit ribosomal RNA", at positions 8 to 916 of the family's 1533-position model. Lineage: Bacteria; Bacillati; Chloroflexota. The record is from RNAcentral.